Molecule: ribosomal RNA, 173 nt
Filed under: uncultured bacterium
Lineage: Bacteria
Description: partial 16S ribosomal RNA
Rfam family: Bacterial small subunit ribosomal RNA
Source: RNAcentral
GGAAUCUYNAGCAAUGGGGGCAACCCUGACGCAGCCACGCCGCGUGCCGGAAGACGGCCCUAUGGGUUGUAAACGGCUUUUAUUAGAAAAGAACCCGGGUCUUUCGAGACCCGCUGACGGUAUCUAACGAAUCAGCACCGGCUAACUCCGUGCCAGCAGCCGCGGUAAUCUGU